UGGGUCUCGCUCGUUGCCUGACUUAACAGGAUGCUUCACAGUACGAACUGACGACGGCCAUGCACCACCUCUCAGCUAAUCCGGCAAAGUCUUCAGCCUGGCCUUCAUAUUGCUGUCGGUCCCGGUAAGAUUUCCGGCGUUGAAUCCAAUUAAACCGCAAGCUCCACCCGUUGUGGUGCUCCCCCGCCAAUUCCUUUAAGUUUCAGCCUUGCGGCCGUACUUCCCAGGUGGCUCGCUUCACGGCUUCCCUACGGCACCGACAACGGUCGCACCGUGGCCGACACCUAGCGAGUAUCGUUUACGGCUAGGACUACCCGGGUAUCUAAUCCGGUUCGUGCCCCUAGCUUUCGUCCCUUGCCGUCAGGUCCGUUCUGGUGAGACGCCUUCGCCACUGGUGGUCCUUCAAGGAUUACAAGAUUUCACCCCUACCCCUGAAGUACCUCUCACCUCUCCCGGCCUCGAGCCAGACAGUAUCUCCUGAAAGCCUGACAGUUAAGCUGCCAGAUUUCUCAAGAGACUUAUCCGGCCGGCUACAGACCCUUUAGACCCAAUAAUAACGGUUACCACUCGAGCCGCCGGUGUUACCGCGGCGGCUGGCACCGGUCUUGCCCGGCCCUUGCUAUGAAAUGCUUUUUAGGCAUCUCGACAGCCAGAUUUGUAACCUGGCACUCGAGGUUCCCUUAUCGCUGUUGCCAGCAUUGUAAAGUUUUCGCGCCUGCUGCACCCCGUAGGGCCUGGAUUCGUGUCUCAGAAUCCAUCUCCGGGCUCUUGCUCUCACAACCCGUACCCGUCGUAGGCUAGUAGGUACGCUACACCCACUACUACCUGAUAGGCCGCAGACCCAUCCUUAGGCGCCGGAGCUUUUAAUCUCGGUGCAUUCCAGCAGCCGAGACUUAUAGGGGAUUAUACCCAGUUUCCCGGGUUUAUACCCAACCUAAGGGCAGGUUGUCCACGUGUUACUGAGCAGUACGCCAUGUAUUGCUACAUUCGACUCGCAUGGCUUAGUCGAACCUCGAUAGCAGUAACCUCUGGCAGGAUCAACCGG
This 1045-nucleotide ribosomal RNA is filed under the name unidentified archaeon. RNAcentral describes it as "16S ribosomal RNA". The record is from RNAcentral.